RNAcentral lists this ribosomal RNA (62 nucleotides) under Staphylococcus aureus. RNAcentral describes it as "partial 16S ribosomal RNA". It matches the Rfam family "Bacterial small subunit ribosomal RNA", at positions 1 to 62 of the family's 1533-position model. Lineage: Bacteria; Bacillati; Bacillota; Bacilli; Caryophanales; Staphylococcaceae. The record is from RNAcentral.
UUUAUGGAGAGUUUGAUCCUGGCUCAGGAUAAACGCUGGCGGCGUGCCUAAUACAUGCAAGU